This 406-nucleotide ribosomal RNA is filed under the name uncultured bacterium. Its description in RNAcentral is "partial 16S ribosomal RNA". It matches the Rfam family "Bacterial small subunit ribosomal RNA", at positions 30 to 526 of the family's 1533-position model. The record is from RNAcentral.
AUUGAACGCUGGCGGCAGGCCUAACACAUGCAAGUCGAGCGAGGGGCGGGCGGGUGAGGAAUGUCUAUGAAACUGCCUGAUGGGGGGGAAUAACGACUGGAAACGGUAGCUAAUACCACAUACCAACAAAUGUGCCCAGAUGGGAUUAGCUAGUAGGUGGGUGACCGGCUCACCUGGGCGACGAUCCCUAGCUGGUCUGAGAGGAUGACCAGCCACACUGGAACUGAGACACGGUCCAGACUCCUACGGGAGGCAGCAGUGGGGAAUAUUGCACAAUGGGCUAAAGCCUGAUCCAGCCAUGCCGCGUGUGUGAAGAAGGCCUUCGGGUUGUAAAGCACUUUAAGUUGGGAGGCGUUACCAACAGAAUAAGCACCGGCUAACUUCGUGCCAGCAGCCGCGGUAAUUC